RNAcentral lists this long non-coding RNA (768 nucleotides) under Elaeis guineensis (African oil palm). Its description in RNAcentral is "long non-coding RNA (EGUI_LNC043959)". Lineage: Eukaryota; Viridiplantae; Streptophyta; Magnoliopsida; Arecales; Arecaceae. The record is from RNAcentral.
GUCUAUUUUAGCAUGAAUAGCUGCAGAUGAAAUAAACAGGAUAUUGCAUAGGUCAAUGAUUUUUAUAAAUAGUAUACCAAUCUACUGAGCAUCUAAGAUUGCUUUUCCACUCAUGGUGUCCAGGUGAAGUUUAUUAAAAUCCUAAUUUAUCCUUGGCUACAAAUGCAUUGUACCAUUUUGUUUGCCCACUGUUGCUCUUGAUCUUCUUGCUUGAGGUCGGCCACCGAGAUAGAUGUGACUGAGGUGAAACCACUGUUGGAGCUUCACCCGAACACCUGCAAAGAAGUUCUCACCAGGGGCAUUCUCCGGUGAAGACCUUUUAACGCUCAAAUCAGGAGAUGGAGAACAAUGAGAGAAGAGAACGAGGAGUCGAUAAUGUACCUUGAAGGAUCCCGAAGCCUUUAUUUAUAGAAGAGUUAGAGUCAUAUCCAUCUCGGAGUCCUGAUAAUUUUUGGAUUUAUCAUGCAGAUUGAUUUAGAUAAGAUAUUUUUCUUUUACAGGAGACUCAAUCAUAAAAGAAUUCUAUUCUAUCUGGAUUUUCUCAAUUUGAAGGAGAGACGGAUCUGAUGAAGAGCUUAGCUCGACAAUGGACGAGCUAUAAUAGAUCAUCCGGGGCUGAAGUUUUAGAGUCCGUGGAGUAGGUGCUCAACCUCAAGUUGGCUAAGAUUGGUCAGCUAUAUACGAGCUAUGGUAGGUCGUCUGAAUACGAGGUGAACCAAAAUUGGGUUGAGUAUGAACUACUACCAAUUUAGUAGGUCGUGCCCGAUG